RNAcentral lists this ribosomal RNA (400 nucleotides) under uncultured bacterium. RNAcentral's name for it is "bacterial SSU rRNA". It matches the Rfam family "Bacterial small subunit ribosomal RNA", at positions 355 to 763 of the family's 1533-position model. The record is from RNAcentral.
UGGGGAAUAUUGCACAAUGGGCGCAAGCCUGAUGCAGCGACGCCGCGUGCGGGAUGACGGCCUUCGGGUUGUAAACCGCUUUUGACUGGGAGCAAGCCCUUCGGGGUGAGUGUACCUUUCGAAUAAGCACCGGCUAACUACGUGCCAGCAGCCGCGGUAAUACGUAGGGUGCAAGCGUUAUCCGGAAUUAUUGGGCGUAAAGGGCUCGUAGGCGGUUCGUCGCGUCCGGUGUGAAAGUCCAUCGCUUAACGGUGGAUCCGCGCCGGGUACGGGCGGGCUUGAGUGCGGUAGGGGAGACUGGAAUUCCCGGUGUAACGGUGGAAUGUGUAGAUAUCGGGAAGAACACCAAUGGCGAAGGCAGGUCUCUGGGCCGUCACUGACGCUGAGGAGCGAAAGCGUG